RNAcentral lists this ribosomal RNA (253 nucleotides) under uncultured bacterium. RNAcentral describes it as "partial 16S ribosomal RNA". It matches the Rfam family "Bacterial small subunit ribosomal RNA", at positions 524 to 776 of the family's 1533-position model. The record is from RNAcentral.
UACGGAGGGUGCGAGCGUUAUCCGGAUUCACUGGGUUUAAAGGGUGCGUAGGUGGGAAUGUAAGUCAGUGGUGAAAUCUCUGAGCUUAACUCAGAAACUGCCAUUGAUACUAUGUUUCUUGAAUUUUCUGGAGGUCAGCGGAAUAUGUCAUGUAGCGGUGAAAUGCUUAGAUAUGACAUAGAACACCAAUUGCGUAGGCAGCUUACUAGACGAUCAUUGACGCUGAGGCACGAAAGCGUGGGGAGCAGACAGG